RNAcentral lists this long non-coding RNA (206 nucleotides) under Mytilus galloprovincialis (Mediterranean mussel). The record is from RNAcentral. Lineage: Eukaryota; Metazoa; Mollusca; Bivalvia; Mytilida; Mytilidae.
GGCGUUAUAAUGCAGGAUUCCAAUGUAUUUACUUGUGAUAGUGUUGAUAGAUGGAGUAUAGAAAUCAUCCUUUUUUCAUCAGACAAACCUUACUAGAAAAGUUUGUUAUCAAAUUUUCAAAAAUGUUCUUCUCAUUUCCUUAUUGUAUUUACAAUUAAAAAAAAAACAAGACAAUCAACCAUAGACAAAACAACAAAUAACUAAAC